RNAcentral lists this unclassified non-coding RNA (738 nucleotides) under Bombus terrestris (buff-tailed bumblebee). RNAcentral describes it as "misc RNA ENSBTSG00005021314.1". The record is from RNAcentral. Lineage: Eukaryota; Metazoa; Arthropoda; Insecta; Hymenoptera; Apidae.
CGCGGUUCGUUCGUUUCGUUUUUCACCACAGAAUAUGUUAAUCUUUGUCGAGAACGUAUGCCUUUGUAUUGAUUAACGAUUGGCACGUGUACGAGCAUACUUAUACAGAACACGUGUCAAAUUGCAAGCAUAAAAGGAAGAAUAGAACACGCUUAUCCCAACUCCAACUCGAUUACUUACCUCACAGCGAACAGCUCGUUAUCGUACUGGUCGAUUACAGGUACAAACGACCGCAAACCUUACCAGUACGUCGCGAAUCGUGUACGUUCCAAGAUUAUUUGAGCCAUGAAUUCUCGCGAGCGUUGCUUGUUAUUUUAUACCAGGAAUUCAUGAGAAUACGCCGUUAAGAAAUAUGCAACGGAGGAUGAAUCACUUAAAAAUUAGGAGUUGGUGAGGGUUCGUGACAGAUAUACAGAGUAAACGCGGAAUAUGUAAAUGAGCUUCGUAAAGUUACAAUGGAUAUUCGUAGAAGUGGAAGGACGUUAAUUUUUCGUGUUCAAGGUCCGGCAUUCGUUGAUAUAGUAAAUGUAACAAUAUUGAGCAUGAAACAAUAAUAUAAUUAUAAUUCUCUUCACAUUUCCUUUCAUCCAGGAGAAAUUAUAAACGUGACUUGAUCACUUGGACGUCGAUAUAAAAAAAAAAAAGAAACGUAAUAACACAAGAACAAUUUGUCGCUUCUUUUCCUUUUUUUUUCAUUUUCUAACUUGAAUAUAAAAAAAAUAAAUUCGCGUUCUCGCA